GGCCUUGUACACACCGCCCGUCACACCAUGGGAGUGGGUUGCAAAAGAAGUAGGUAGCUUAACCUUCGGGAGGGCGCUUACCACUUUGUGAUUCAUGACUGGGGUGAAGUCGUAACAAGGUAACCGUAGGGGAACCUGCGGUUGGAUCACCUCCUUA
This 157-nucleotide ribosomal RNA is filed under the name Escherichia coli. RNAcentral describes it as "partial 16S ribosomal RNA". It matches the Rfam family "Bacterial small subunit ribosomal RNA", at positions 1377 to 1533 of the family's 1533-position model. Lineage: Bacteria; Pseudomonadati; Pseudomonadota; Gammaproteobacteria; Enterobacterales; Enterobacteriaceae. The record is from RNAcentral. RNAcentral also lists the same sequence under 3 other names.